CAGCAGCCGCGGUAAUACGAAGGGUGCAAGCGUUAAUCGGAAUUACUGGGCGUAAAGCGCACGUAGGCGGAUCGAUCAGUCAGGGGUGAAAUCCCAGAGCUCAACUCUGGAACUGCCUUUGAUACUGUCGAUCUGGAGUAUGGAAGAGGUGAGUGGAAUUCCGAGUGUAGAGGUGAAAUUCGUAGAUAUUCGGAGGAACACCAGUGGCGAAGGCGGCUCACUGGUCCAUUACUGACGCUGAGGUGCGAAAGCGUGGGGAGCAAACAGGAUUAGAUACCCCGGUAGUCCCUGUCUCUUAUAC
RNAcentral lists this ribosomal RNA (301 nucleotides) under uncultured bacterium. Its description in RNAcentral is "partial 16S ribosomal RNA". It matches the Rfam family "Bacterial small subunit ribosomal RNA", at positions 509 to 807 of the family's 1533-position model. The record is from RNAcentral.